GAUUUCAAUUUAUCUCACUUGAUCAUUUCCAAGCAUUGGAAGCGUAAGUAUACGUUGUAUGUAUAUGAGAUACGUACGUAGUCGUGAAACGUUUAAGGAUAUUGAUCUUUGAUCGCUCAGUUGUUUCUAGCAAUCGACCCGUUUAUAAGAUAAUUAUUGUUUAAGGCCAAUAUCUCGAAUCUCGAGUUCUUCCCGUCAAUCAAUCUAUUUAUAUUACUUAUUUUUCCAGUCACUCAUAUACCGAGAAAUUCUAAAUAUAUCCAACACGCGCAAGAAGAAUCACUCUGUGCAUUUUGAUCAUUUGAUUGAUUGAAACCCUAGUGCAUCUCUUAUUCUUCGAAGAGAAACGUAUAAAUCUUUAAGAAAUUUCAUUCGAUUCGAAACUUAUACAUAUUCUUCCCUUUUUCAAGGUUAGAAGAAACAAGUAGCAUACCAUCACGUGUACCAGAGUCGACGUAUAGAAACGUAAUCGGAGUGGAAUGGCAUUCAGUUGAAAUAUCGAUGCAUGAUUUACGUCAAGAAUGUCCGCCAACCAACCAAUUGAUACCAAUUCCGUCCGUUGUGCAAUUGGCGUCGCUUGACAUCACUUUAUUUAGACGCAUGCGCUAUUUAUCACGCUAAACAUCGUAUUCUGUGAACGGCCAUGUUGUGUAAAAGGUUGUGGAUCAAGAGAAAAUGGAGGAUUUGUCGAAUAUGACGAAUAUCAUGAUUCAGUGAUGACAAAAACACGUUUAUGAUUACGAUAAUGAAACAGACAUUCCUGAAUAUAAGGUUACCACAUGCAAAAUGAAUGUAACGAAUUAUUGGACCACGAUAAAUUAUAUCUCAACCCAAAAUCUCGUCAAAAUAGAUUGUGAACGAAAUUUACAAAUACGAUAUUGCUAAAUAAUCAGAAAUCUUUAUUUCGGGGUUAUCGAAAUCUGACAUUUUCUUUGAAACAGUAAACACUUAGAUUUGUCAAAGUCUCGAUUCUAGAUCUUUAAAAAUGAUCUAGUGUUUUUAUAGUAUUAUAUAUUAUAUACAUUAUAUAAUAAUAUAACAUAAUACAACAUAAAUUCUUCAAAUAUUUAAACUCUCAAUUCUCAUUUUUUUUUAGUCUUCACUAUCAUUAAAGGUAAGAAUAAAAAAAAAUUAAAAUUUUAUGUUUUUAACAAAUUAUAUAUCAUGGCUUGAAUUCUGUGCUUAUAACGAAUAAAUAUUAUAUUUAUUAUUAUACUUCUAUUUCUAAUCUUUAUUUUUUUCUUUUUUUCUUCCUGCAAAUUUCUCUUGAGGAAAAUUGAACUGAAUUAUAAAUAACAAGAAAAAUUACGAAGACAUUUCAAAUUUCUUGAGCAUUUCCUUAAAAACAGUCGUGGUAUAUCUUAAUUGGAAAUUUCUCUGAAACAAGAAGAAGCAAGGAAAAGAAAAAGUAGUAUAAAAAGAAAUGAAUACUUUGAUAUUCCAUUGGAUAUAAGAAAUUGAUUAAAGUUAGAAUGACGCGUGCUGUGCGUAGUCAUACGCGUGCCAUAGAUAAAUUAGUGUCACUUAAGAGAAGCGCGCGUAAACUCGAGAUUCGUGUGAAAACCCAUCUUUGAGUCAAAUAAUUCAAAUGAAAAACACAAAAAUAAAGAAAAAAUUAAAAAAAGAAAGUCAGUCAAUUGAACAACAGUCAAUCAUAGAAAGAGAUAGAAGAUAGAUAUAGAAAUAAAUUUCGUAGGGGAAAGGAGAGGAGAGAGAAAUAAAUCUGCACUCAAUUUAGAUAACGUCUCGUCAUUACAUAUUUGCAAACUCUGUUUUUCAAUGCGGAUAAAUAUGCUCGAAGAUUUUAGAUUUCUAAAGCUUAAAGAAACAGUGAUAUAGUUUACCUGCACUUUAGUUGGGCAUUCUCUCCACGUCGAAUAGAGCCGAGUUCCAAACUGGAGUUGGAGGCGUCUGAAUCGCUGUGCACUGGGCUCGGUGGACCACCGUUCGUCAAACCAUCAGGCGACACUCCCAAACCCGGCAACGUGGUCGAUGGGGAAGUUCCGAGUUCUUCCUCGACCGGCAUGCUUCGCGGCCAAACCGGAAGGUCUAGCGGUGCUUGCUGAUGCAGGCUGAGGCUCCCGUAGUAGUUGAUGUUUGGGCUAGUCGGGUAACCGGAAAUCGGGCUGUAAAAACCCGGUAUCGUUCCUAGCAACGUGCCAGGAUAACGAACGGAGCCGUACGCACCAACGUGGCUUGGCAUUCUACCCGGGACGUAAACGAUCAUUUUUAUUCUCUUUUUUUUUUUUGUAUUUUCGUUAAUCGAAUUCGACCAGAAACGUGCAAACUUCCCCUUUAUAAAAUUUUUAGACUUUCAAUCAAAGAGAAUUUUGUGAAUAUAUAGUAUCGAUUGUGUUCACUUUGAUGUGAAAAAUAUGAUUUACGAAUGGAUUUGAAAGGUUGACAAUAGGUUGACAAUAUUUUCGUUUAUUUCAAAUCAAUUUAAUCUUGCGUUUCAUCGGCUGCUAAUAUAUCUAUGUGAUUACGAUUGAUUCGUAUCACCUCUUUAUAGAUUGAAAUACGUUUUCUUCUUUCGCGAUUUUAUCGUGUUUUCGAAAGCGUUUCGAAAAUGGCGGACGUCUCCUCGUUUCCUCAGACCGUAUCGAGGGUAGGAAACGAUCGACGCAUCGGUGAAAAUCGCGAACAAGACUUUCCAGGUCUUGCCGAUCCCUUUCUCUGUGUUCGAGCCCUCAAUCCGAACUAUCCGUUCCCAACAAGUCGAACACGGCACAGUACGCUCACAUAUACACUCUCGCCGUAGCGCACACCCUUUUAUCACACUUAGUCCGAGUCCGUAUCGUCAGAUGUACUUGAACCGAUUCGACUUGAGUAUACGGUAGCUCAGGAAUUGUUUGCUGUACUCGAUCGAGAACAUAACUAGGCUGGCCCGCAACAGAUUCAUCAAACGUGGGUAGUAUUCUUUAUUCUUCACGGUGGCCGUCGUCUUUCUAGAACGAUAUUUCAAAUCCGAUCCGCAAUUCCGAUCGAGCUUCGUGGCGCGUGGAAAAACACAGCAAAUGUUUCGUGGAGAGCGUUCGGUUUACUACCGACGCUAGAACACCGUCGCCUUCAUUUUUUAAUUUCUUUCUAUUAUCCCUCUGUUUUGAUUUGUGUAUAAAUUGUAACUCUAAAGCUUAACUUUCCUUAUUCUUAUCUUUCAACAAAUAUCUUGGAGCGUGAUGCACCGAUGAUCGGAGUUGUUUAGGGAUGAUGAUGAAUCGCGUACCACGGUAGUCAAGACGUAUAUCGAUGAUACUCGAAAAAGAAGACGGAGGAAGAGA
Long non-coding RNA from Apis dorsata (giant honeybee), 3281 nucleotides. RefSeq lists it as uncharacterized. The record is from RefSeq and is a predicted model, not a curated record. The transcript is spliced from 4 exons. Lineage: Eukaryota; Metazoa; Arthropoda; Insecta; Hymenoptera; Apidae.